CUUGCAUUGCGGUGACCGGCCGACGAGCCGAAGGCGGUGCAAGAAGCAUACCGAGUGUUCGCGAUGGCGAAUGCUGG
This 77-nucleotide small RNA is filed under the name Cupriavidus sp. HPC(L). RNAcentral describes it as "Cupriavidus-1 RNA". It matches the Rfam family "Cupriavidus-1 RNA". Lineage: Bacteria; Pseudomonadati; Pseudomonadota; Betaproteobacteria; Burkholderiales; Burkholderiaceae. The record is from Rfam by way of RNAcentral.